RNAcentral lists this ribosomal RNA (478 nucleotides) under uncultured Planctomycetales bacterium. RNAcentral's name for it is "bacterial SSU rRNA". It matches the Rfam family "Bacterial small subunit ribosomal RNA", at positions 365 to 833 of the family's 1533-position model. Lineage: Bacteria; Pseudomonadati; Planctomycetota; Planctomycetia; Planctomycetales. The record is from RNAcentral.
UUCGCAAUGCCCGAAAGGGUGACGAAGCGACGCCGCGUGUGGGAAGAAGGCCUUCGGGUUGUAAACCACUGUCGGGAGUUAAGAAAUACAAGGAUAUUAAUAGUGUCUUUGUUUGACUAAGGCUCCGGAGGAAGCCACGGCUAACUCUGUGCCAGCAGCCGCGGUAAUACAGAGGCGGCAAACGUUGUUCGGAAUUAUUGGGCGUAAAGAGCACGUAGGCGGCUAUGUAAGUCGGUUGUGAAAGCCUUCCGCUCAACGGAAGAACAGCAUCCGAUACUACAUGGCUUGAGUGCGGGAGGGGAGAGUGGAACUUCUGGUGGAGCGGUGAAAUGCGUAGAUAUCAGAAGGAACGCCGGCGGCGAAAGCGGCUCUCUGGCCCAUAACUGACGCUGAGCGUGCGAAAGCUAGGGGAGCAAACGGGAUUAGAUACCCCGGUAGUCCUAGCCGUAAACGAUGGGCACUAAGUAGAGGGGUUUUA